This 253-nucleotide ribosomal RNA is filed under the name uncultured bacterium. RNAcentral's name for it is "partial 16S ribosomal RNA". It matches the Rfam family "Bacterial small subunit ribosomal RNA", at positions 524 to 776 of the family's 1533-position model. The record is from RNAcentral.
UACGUAUGGUGCGAGCGUUGUCCGGAUUUACUGGGCGUGGAGGGGGCGCAGGCGGCGCGCCAAGCCCGGUGUGAAAGCCCGGGGCUCAACCCCGGGACUGCAUUGGGAACUGGCGUGCUGGAGUGCCGGAGGGGCAGGCGGAAUUCCUGGUGUAGCGGUGAAAUGCGUAGAUAUCAGGAGGAACCCCGGUGGCGAAGGCGGCCUGCUGGACGGAUACUGACGCUGAGGCCCGAAAGCGUGGGGAGCGAACAGG